Non-coding RNA from Danio rerio (zebrafish), 573 nucleotides. The record is from RefSeq and is a predicted model, not a curated record. NCBI's taxonomy places the organism in Eukaryota, Metazoa, Chordata, Actinopteri, Cypriniformes, Danionidae.
UUAUGUAAUUGUAAGUAUUUGUGUAUUUGUCUGUGUUGCUGGGGUGCUUAGAAGCCUUCACCUUUGAUCUAGAGAGACUAGAAUAGAGGUGAGGUUCAGGCUACACAGUGUAAGAGAUGAGGUUAGGACGAGUGAGAAGUAUGAUUGUGUUUAGAAGUAUGUUUGCAAUAAGAGUGAGUUUAAAAGAAUUAUCGUUUUAUAUUAUAAUAUAAAAGAAGGACUGCAUAUGUUGUGUGAUUUAAGAACAAUAAGAUAGAGAGUGAUGCAGUUUAGGGAAGAGAUUGUGAUACAGAGGAGGUUUAAGCCUCAUAAAAUUAAUUGAGAUCAUAUUGCAUUUGAAAGACACAGACUGAAAAGAAGAAUAUACUAGUUAAACAUUUUUCUAAAUAAUCUCUGUGUGUUUGAAGUGUUUUUAAGUAUGAACUAGGCAGAGAGGGGACUGAAAUUCCUGACAUGUCGACAGUCUAUAAGAAGGUCUGGUUCAGGAGUGGUAAGAAUCUGUCUAUUUUAAGAACAAAAGUUUCACAGGACAGAUAGAAGCUAAAGAGUCAAGAUAUAUUAUAAGGUAUUAAA